UAACGCGUGAAGUUGACCGCCUGGGGAGUACGGUCGCAAGAUUAAAACUCAAAGGAAUUGACGGGGACCCGCACAAGCGGUGGAUGAUGUGGAUUAAUUCGAUGCAACGCGAAAAACCUUACCUACCCUUGACAUGUCCGGAAUCCUGCAGAGAUGCGGGAGUGCCCGAAAGGGAAUCGGAACACAGGUGCUGCAUGGCUGUCGUCAGCUCGUGUCGUGAGAUGUUGGGUUAAGUCCCGCAACGAGCGCAACCCUUAUCAUUAGUUGCUACGCAAGGGCACUCUAAUGAGACUGCCGGUGACAAACCGGAGGAAGGUGGGGAUGACGUCAAGUCCUCAUGGCCCUUAUGGGUAGGGCUUCACACGUCAUACAAUGGUCGGUACAGAGGGUUGCCAAGCCGCGAGGUGGAGCCAAUCCCAGAAAGCCGAUCGUAGUCCGGAUUGUUCUCUGCAACUCGAGAGCAUGAAGUCGGAAUCGCUAGUAAUCGCGGAUCAGCAUGUCGCGGUGAAUACGUUCCCGGGUCUUGUACACACCGCCCGUCACACCAUGGGAGUGGAAUCUGCCAGAAGUAGGUAGCCUAACCGCAAGGAGGGCGCUUACCACGCUGGGUUUCAUGACUGGGGUGAAGUCGUAACAAGGUAACCAAGGG
This 649-nucleotide ribosomal RNA is filed under the name uncultured bacterium. Its description in RNAcentral is "bacterial SSU rRNA". It matches the Rfam family "Bacterial small subunit ribosomal RNA", at positions 853 to 1506 of the family's 1533-position model. The record is from RNAcentral.